This 427-nucleotide ribosomal RNA is filed under the name uncultured Methylotenera sp. RNAcentral describes it as "bacterial SSU rRNA". It matches the Rfam family "Bacterial small subunit ribosomal RNA", at positions 355 to 774 of the family's 1533-position model. Lineage: Bacteria; Pseudomonadati; Pseudomonadota; Betaproteobacteria; Nitrosomonadales; Methylophilaceae. The record is from RNAcentral.
UGGGGAAUUUUGGACAAUGGGCGCAAGCCUGAUCCAGCCAUUCCGCGUGAGUGAAGAAGGCCUUCGGGUUGUAAAGCUCUUUCGCAAGGGAAGAAAACUUACUUUCUAAUAAAGAGUGAGGUUGACGGUACCUUGAUAAGAAGCACCGGCUAACUACGUGCCAGCAGCCGCGGUAAUACGUAGGGUGCGAGCGUUAAUCGGAAUUACUGGGCGUAAAGCGUGCGCAGGCUGUUUUGUAAGUCAGAUGUGAAAUCCCCGAGCUCAACUUGGGAACUGCGUUUGAAACUACAAGACUAGAAUAUGUCAGAGGGGGGUAGAAUUCCACGUGUAGCAGUGAAAUGCGUAGAGAUGUGGAGGAAUACCAAUGGCGAAGGCAGCCCCCUGGGAUAAUAUUGACGCUCAUGCACGAAAGCGUGGGGAGCAAACA